CCCUCUCCCUAGGCAGGCCUUCCUUCUUUCUUCUCUUUGGGGAGUUUCCCUGGGCCAGCUUNNNNNNNNNNNNNNNNNNNNNNNNNNNNNNNNNGGAAAGCCCACUUGGCAGUGUCUCUAACCUAGACUUUAUCAGCAAUAAAGAGGACAUUUUGGCCCCUAUCGGUAGGGGUUUGUUCUUUGUCUUCCUUCUUAAUUGGUUCAGAACCUGGAUGGGGAAAGCAGUUUUAUUUGCUGGGCCCUACUCAGAGUUCUCAAGAAAACACACAAACACACACACACACAGUUUGUUAAUAAUAUAAUCUCAAAGAAUAAAGGUUUUUUUUUUUUUCUUCAGUGUGUGGGUUUUGUUUUUACUGAAGCUAUAGUAAGAAGCAGGCAAGCAGGAAGGUAUACUAAAACAUCUAGAGACAGAGUUCCCGUCGUGGCUCAGCUGUUAACGAACCUGACUAGUAUCCAUGAGGACACGGGUUGGAUCCCUGGCUUCACUCAGGGGGUUAAGGGUCCCACGUUGCCAUGAGCUGUGGUGUAGGUAGCAGAUGCGGCUCGGAUCUGGCAUUGCUGUGGUUGUGGUGUAGGCCAGUGGCUGCUGCAGCUCCAAUUCGACCCCUAGCCUGGGAACUUCCAUAUGCCAUGGGUGCAGCCCUAAAAAGACAAAAACAAACAAACAAAAACUAUAAAACAUCUAGAGAAAUAAAAAUAUCUGACCAGAAUAAGAAAGACUAGGUGAGUGUUCAAUGUGGAUUCAGUUUGCAUUUUUAGGAUAGGAUAAUGCUUCUCAAAUUUCAAUAGUGCCAAAGAAUCACCUGGAGAUGUUGUUGAAAUUCCUAUUCACAACACAUUCAAUGGGUUUUGUGUGGAGCCUAAAUUCUAUAUUUCCAGUAAGCUUCGGGUAAUGCUGAUGCCUUUGGCCUAUAGACAACACCUUAAGUAGCAAGGGUGUAGAAUAUCAUGAACUGCUACUUUCCACACUCAAUAAGCACUUGUCAAAUUUCUUUUUAUUUCAAAGCUAAUUUACAUCAAUAAUUACUUUGCUUAAUCUGUUUAUGAUGUGCCUAUAAUUUCCGGAUGUACGUCUAUCAGGAUAGCACAUCAUAUCAAGUCAUUCNNNNNNNNNNNNNNNNNNNNNNNNNNNNNNNCUGCAGCAUAUGGAAAUUCCCAGGCCAGGGAUCAAACCUGCACCAGAGCACAGUGACUCAAGCCACUGCAGCGAUAAUGCCGGAUCCUUAACCCACUGCACCACGGAGAAUUCCUGCCCCCACAUUUUGAUGGCUCCCAUUAUCAGCAGACUUUUACUGCUUAACAAACCAUGCCCAAUGCACCUGCUUAAAAAAACAACCAUCAUUUGCUCACAGUUCUUUGGGUUGGGCCCAGCUGGGUGAUUCUGCUGCUGGUGUUGACUGGGCUCGCUCUUGGAUCGAUGGCCAGCUGCAGGGAGCUAGGUUCCUGUUCUCCUGGCAGUGCUGAUUGUGGACUCGGUCAGUGGAGAGAACUGGACCACAUGUUUCUCAUCACCAUUCAACUAGCUAAAGCGGGCUUGUUCACAUGGCUGCAGAAGGGUUCCAUGUGCAGCAUGGGUCACCCACACGUGCAAGCUCUUUGCUUGCCUCUACCUGAAGCACGUUUGCUACCCCUGGUCAUCCCCUUGGUCGAAGCAAGUUGUAUGGCCAAGUCCAGUGUCAGUGUGGGAUAGAUUUACUUGAGUUAUGGAUGCUGGAGAGGGAAGCAUUUGUGGCUGCUUUUGCAAUCCAAAUAUUCAAGUUCAAGUUGGCCUUUAAGGUCCACCUCCUACCCCCUGAAAAGCCUAUCAGGCUUCUUUUUACCUCCACACUAUUACUCUUUCACUGCCCUCCUCCUGGAAUACUCUAUCUUUGGACAGAGACUUGGUUCAUUUUCAGAUGGUAUGUCCUACUGAAACUUGUUGUCUAAAUUGGACGGGAUCUUGAAUUAUAUGGCACAUCUCA
RNAcentral lists this long non-coding RNA (1964 nucleotides) under Sus scrofa (pig). RNAcentral describes it as "lncRNA (ENSSSCG00005022929.1)". Lineage: Eukaryota; Metazoa; Chordata; Mammalia; Artiodactyla; Suidae. The record is from RNAcentral.